AAGUCGUAACAAGGUUUCCGUAGGUGAACCUGCGGAAGGAUCAUUACAACGUAUCCACGUAUAAACAAACGCGAACAUCCCGCCAAUGGUAAAAACCAGGUAGCUGGCCUGAAGUUAACCGGCUGAACUGUUAAUUAUGUGUCUUGUCGAUGGAGUUGUAUCUUGGGAAGCCAAGGCACAACUGAGACACGAGUUCUGGCCCGGGUAAGCCCUUGUGGUAGACCCGAACUUCGUUUACCUUUGGUGUGUAUUCAACCAUCGGGUUCAUAAUGUACCCUUUAUUAACCCUUUGUAAAAUUUGAACUGAACUUGGUAAACACUGCGGCUUUCCUCGCUGGCUUCGGUCACGGAAAGCACUCAACGCGGUGCUUUUACUCUUUAUUACGAAAUAAGAACAACUCUUAACAACGGAUAUCUUGGUUCUC
Molecule: unclassified non-coding RNA, 425 nt
Filed under: fungal sp.
Lineage: Eukaryota; Fungi
Description: partial internal transcribed spacer region
Rfam family: Eukaryotic small subunit ribosomal RNA (bases 1-46)
Source: RNAcentral